Molecule: ribosomal RNA, 460 nt
Filed under: uncultured bacterium
Lineage: Bacteria
Description: partial 16S ribosomal RNA
Rfam family: Bacterial small subunit ribosomal RNA
Source: RNAcentral
AGUGAACGCUGGCGGCGUGCCUAAUACAUGCAAGUCGAACGGAGAUUAAGUAGCUUGCUAUUUAAUCUUAGUGGCGCACGGGUGAGUAAUAUAUAGCUAACUUGCCCAUUACUAAGGGACAACAGUUGGAAACGACUGCUAAUACCUUAUACUCCGUAUCUAUAUAAGUAGAUACGGGAAAGUUUUUCGGUAAUGGAUAGGGCUAUAUCGUAUCAGCUAGUUGGUAAGGUAAUGGCUUACCAAGGCUAUGACGCGUAACUGGUCUGAGAGGAUGAUCAGUCACACUGGAACUGAGACACGGUCCAGACUCCUACGGGAGGCAGCAGUAGGGAAUAUUGCUCAAUGGGGGAAACCCUGAAGCAGCAACGCCGCGGGGAGGAUGACACUUUUCGGAGCGUAAACUCCUUUUCUUGGGAAAGAAUUAUGACGGUACCCAAGGAAUAAGCACCGGCUAACGCCG